RNAcentral lists this unclassified non-coding RNA (319 nucleotides) under uncultured fungus. RNAcentral describes it as "partial contains small subunit ribosomal RNA, internal transcribed spacer 1, and 5.8S ribosomal RNA". The stretch from base 1 to 73 matches the Rfam family "Eukaryotic small subunit ribosomal RNA", at positions 1759 to 1831 of the family's 1831-position model. Lineage: Eukaryota; Fungi. The record is from RNAcentral.
UCAAACUUGGUCAUUUAGAGGAAGUAAAAGUCGUAACAAGGUUUCCGUAGGUGAACCUGCGGAAGGAUCAUUAACGAGUUAGGGUCUCCUAGGCCCGACCUCCCAACCCUUUGUUUAAUAGACCUCUGUUGCUUCGGCGGACCCGUCUCACUGACCGCCGGAGGACCGCCUAUCCGGCGUCCUCUGGCCAGUGUCCGCCGACAGCCUAUCUUCUUAACUCUGGAACAACCGUGACAUGUGUCUAAGUGAAUUUAUUCAAUUAAAAGCAAAAACUUUCAACAACGGAUCUCUUGGUUCUGGCAUCGAUGAAGAACGCAGC